UACGUAGGGGGCAAGCGUUGUCCGGAAUUAUUGGGCGUAAAGGGCGCGUAGGCGGCCAAGCAAGUCCUGGGUGAAAUCCCUCGGCUCAACCGAGGAACUGCCUCGGAAACUGCAUGGCUCGAGGCCGGGAGAGGGUAGCGGAAUUCCCAGUGUAGCGGUGAAAUGCGCAGAUAUCAGGAAGAACACCCGUGGCGAAGGCGGCUCUCUGGAACGCAACUGACGCUGAGACGCGAAAGCGUGGGGAGCAAACAGG
This 253-nucleotide ribosomal RNA is filed under the name uncultured bacterium. RNAcentral describes it as "partial 16S ribosomal RNA". It matches the Rfam family "Bacterial small subunit ribosomal RNA", at positions 524 to 776 of the family's 1533-position model. The record is from RNAcentral.